CGCUCCAAAUCGAUGUGGUGAGCCACGUUGGCGCAAAUCUCAGUCGUUUUCGAUGAUUUGUUCGCGUUGCUCAGCCACAUCGAUGGGAUAAGCG
This 94-nucleotide microRNA precursor is filed under the name Caenorhabditis sp. 23 AD-2012. RNAcentral's name for it is "mir-356". Lineage: Eukaryota; Metazoa; Nematoda; Chromadorea; Rhabditida; Rhabditidae. The record is from RNAcentral.